AGAUUGAACGCUGGCGGCAGGCCUAACACAUGCAAGUCGAGCGGUAGAGAGGUGCUUGCAUCUCUUGAGAGCGGCGGACGGGUGAGUAAUGCCUAGGAAUCUGCCUAGUGGUGGGGGAUAACGUUCGGAAACGGACGCUAAUACCGCAUACGUCCUACGGGAGAAAGCGGGGGACCUUCGGGCCUCGCGCCAUUAGAUGAGCCUAGGUCGGAUUAGCUAGUUGGUGAGGUAAUGGCUCACCAAGGCGGCGAUCCGUAACUGGUCUGAGAGGAUGAUCAGUCACACUGGAACUGAGACACGGUCCAGACUCCUACGGGAGGCAG
RNAcentral lists this ribosomal RNA (323 nucleotides) under uncultured soil bacterium. RNAcentral describes it as "bacterial SSU rRNA". It matches the Rfam family "Bacterial small subunit ribosomal RNA", at positions 26 to 351 of the family's 1533-position model. The record is from RNAcentral.